AUUGAACGCUGGCGGCAGGCCUAACACAUGCAAGUCGAGCGGCAGCGACAACAUUGACCCUUCGGGUGAUUUGUUGGGCGGCGAGCGGCGGACGGGUGAGUAAUGCCUAGGAAAUUGCCCUGAUGUGGGGGAUAACCAUUGGAAACGAUGGCUAAUACCGCAUAAUCUCUUCGGAGCAAAGAGGGGGACCUUCGGGCCUCUCGCGUCAGGAUAUGCCUAGGUGGGAUUAGCUAGUUGGUGAGGUAAUGGCUCACCAAGGCGACGAUCCCUAGCUGGUCUGAGAGGAUGAUCAGCCACACUGGAACUGAGACACGGUCCAG
Molecule: ribosomal RNA, 320 nt
Filed under: uncultured Vibrio sp.
Lineage: Bacteria; Pseudomonadati; Pseudomonadota; Gammaproteobacteria; Vibrionales; Vibrionaceae
Description: bacterial SSU rRNA
Rfam family: Bacterial small subunit ribosomal RNA
Source: RNAcentral